This 1205-nucleotide ribosomal RNA is filed under the name uncultured bacterium. RNAcentral's name for it is "partial 16S ribosomal RNA". The record is from RNAcentral.
ACCGGCUUUUUGGGAUUCGCUCCACCUUACGGUAUCGCAGCCCUCUGUACCGGCCAUUGUAGCAUGCGUGAAGCCCAAGACAUAAGGGGCAUGAUGAUUUGACGUCAUCCCCACCUUCCUCCGAGUUGACCCCGGCAGUCUCCCAUGAGUCCCCGGCAUAACCCGCUGGCAACAUAGGACGAGGGUUGCGCUCGUUGCGGGACUUAACCCAACAUCUCACGACACGAGCUGACGACAACCAUGCACCACCUGUGUACGAGUGUCCAAAGAGAACCCCGUCUCGGGGGCUUUCUCGUACAUGUCAAGCCUUGGUAAGGUUCUUCGCGUUGCAUCGAAUUAAUCCGCAUGCUCCGCCGCUUGUGCGGGCCCCCGUCAAUUCCUUUGAGUUUUAGCCUUGCGGCCGUACUCCCCAGGCGGGGCACUUAAUGCGUUAGCUGCGGCACGGAACUCGUGGAAUGAGCCCCACACCUAGUGCCCAACGUUUACGGCAUGGACUACCAGGGUAUCUAAUCCUGUUCGCUCCCCAUGCUUUCGCUCCUCAGCGUCAGUUGCGGCCCAGAGACCUGCCUUCGCCAUCGGUGUUCCUCCUGAUAUCUGCGCAUUCCACCGCUACACCAGGAAUUCCAGUCUCCCCUACCGCACUCUAGUCUGCCCGUACCCGAUGCAAGCCCGAGGUUGAGCCUCGGGAUUUCACACCAGACGCGACAGACCGCCUACGAGCUCUUUACGCCCAAUAAUUCCGGACAACGCUUGCGCCCUACGUAUUACCGCGGCUGCUGGCACGUAGUUAGCCGGCGCUUCUUCUGCAGGUACCGUCACUUGCGCUUCUUCCCUGCUGAAAGAGGUUUACAACCCGAAGGCCGUCAUCCCUCACGCGGCGUCGCUGCAUCAGGCUUGCGCCCAUUGUGCAAUAUUCCCCACUGCUGCCUCCCGUAGGAGUCUGGGCCGUGUCUCAGUCCCAGUGUGGCCGGUCGCCCUCUCAGGCCGGCUACCCGUCGACGCCUUGGUAGGCCAUCACCCCACCAACAAGCUGAUAGGCCGCGAGCCCAUCCCCCACCGAAAAACUUUCCAACCCACACCAUGCGAUGCGAGCUCAUAUCCGGUAUUAGACCCCGUUUCCAAGGCUUAUCCCGAAGUGGAGGGCAGGUUGCUCACGUGUUACUCACCCGUUCGCCACUGAUCCACCCAGCAAGCUGGGCUUCACC